AGGAUCAUUAUUGAUUGCGAAUUGUUGUCUUCAGAUGCUGGCCAGCUCUGGCAAGUGCACGUUGGCAGCUUUUCAUCCAAUACCCCUGUGCACCUUUGGCCUCUUGCUAGCCUUGGCCGGCAGAGGAUUUUUACACCAACUCGAAUGUAAUGAAAUUAUUGUUGUGCGUAAGCACUAAUGUACAACUUUCAACAACGGAUCUCUUGGCUCUCGCAUCGAUGAAGAACGCAGCGAAAUGCGAUAAGUAAUGUGAAUUGCAGAAUUCAGUGAAUCAUCGAAUCUUUGAACGCACCUUGCACCCUUUGGUAUUCCGAAGGGUAUGCUCGUUUGAGUGUCAUUGUACUCUCACACUUCUGAUCUUUGGAUUGGGAGCGGUGGACUUGGGUGUUGCUGCUUUACUGUGGCUCACCUCAAAUGCAGCUAGUGCAACUCUUGGUUGGACAUAUCUACGGCGUGAUAAGUGUCUUCGCCGGCACCUCGAAAGAGGGUGGCUGAUCAGGAGCUCUGUGCUUCCAACUGUCUWCGAACAACUACUGACAACUUGACCUCAAAUCGAGUAGGACCACCCGCUGAACUUAAGCAUAUCAAUAAGCGGAGGA
This 599-nucleotide ribosomal RNA is filed under the name uncultured fungus. RNAcentral's name for it is "eukaryotic LSU rRNA". The record is from RNAcentral. Lineage: Eukaryota; Fungi.